This is a long non-coding RNA of Sphaeramia orbicularis (orbiculate cardinalfish), 181 nucleotides long. RefSeq lists it as uncharacterized. The transcript is spliced from 3 exons. The record is from RefSeq and is a predicted model, not a curated record. NCBI's taxonomy places the organism in Eukaryota, Metazoa, Chordata, Actinopteri, Kurtiformes, Apogonidae.
UGCCACAUGGGUAAGGCAAAUAUGGUAACUUUAUUAACCUUGAUUUUCCACACAACAAUAAAAUAUUUGACAAUGAAAAAUUUCUCAAAGGUAAUAAAUUUCUGUUAUGUCCUCCAAUAACACACUAGGGUUGAAAUUUUGAAUUUCAGAGUAUUUCUAUGUGUGCCCUAUAAGGGGUUAA